AUUGCUGAGGGGGGAAAUGCACUUUUCUUUUGGCAAUUCCAAAUCCAGGCACUUGAUUUACUGGAUUUUGGAAAACUCCUUUUUUGGCCCUGCUGUGUGCUUAGCCAUAACAAUUCCAUUCAGCAAGAAGGUAAACAAAAGACAAAAAAACUUGCACUGGCUUGUCUCACUUAUGAAACACCAUGGAGUGGUUUGAUUGGGUGGGGCUGGGUGCCACGUAUGUCAAUGCCUGUAAUUUUCCUAAUAAGCAAGUACAUAAAGAAUUACAUUCUGUUCAGGUGAUAACUGAGCCUCAAUCAAGCAGAAACUUUUUGCUUGACGUUAAAAAAAAAAAUUUCUAUUAGUGAAAUUUCUUUUUUUUUUUUGAAGCACCCUAUUAUCUAAAAAAAUCUUUGUAAGAUUUUUGUAAAAUUUUGUUUUACAAGAUUUUAUUUGAAAUUGUUUUUUGCAAGAUUGUUAUAUUUCUGUAUGAAUGUAUUUUUUAUUGGAAUAACAUAAAAGAAUUCUUAUCAGCAUCUUGAGUCUGGUUGUUUUUUUUUGGGGGGGGGUGCGGGUGGCGGAGUGUUGAAACAAAUUCCUGCCAGAUUACUCACCCGGCUCUUCCUUGGGAAAUCUUUGUGCUACCCAGGGAGCCACUUGUCUCCCCCCAGCCCCCCCCACUGCCCUUCCUGGCAGCAAAGGUGGAAAUAGGAGCCUGGGGUUGCUCCCCUGAUGGGCACUGAAUUCUCCUCCAGAGACUGGCCACCAGGCCUUGGGGCACAGGAGGAAACACUUGCUGUGUUUUAUCUUCCUGUCACUCCAGCCAGGAGAAUAAAUUGCAGAGGCAUCUGCAGAAUGUGAAACAAACACCUCCCUUUCACUUCCGCAUGCUCCUGCAGCCCUGUUCCACAGAGGCGGUCAGAGCCCGGCAGCCGCUUCUGACCUGGCCCGCACACCUGGCUGAGAUGUCACCCAAGAGGGUGAAAAGGACACAGUUGGGACAGCAAGCCCUGAAGCCAUCCCCCUGGCCUUCAGUCCACUCUUCUUACCUACCCCCUCCCACUCUGGUCAGCCCAGCAAAAUAAGGCAGAAGGUAAAAGAUUGUUUACAUGAUCACCAGAUUUUUUUUUUCUUGAGGUAAAUGGGAUGCAUUCAAAUGCAGAGUUUGUUCCAAAACAAAAUAGCUUUUGGUUCUCUAGAAACAUUUCCUGUGAGCAGCAUUAGAUCUUAGUUCUUCUGAGCGGCGAGUGGCAAACAAGUUUGUGUUGAGUUCAUAUUAAGCUCCUCAGUAGUGACAGUAAAAUCAGUGUGUGCUUUCUAGAAGGGGCUAUAGGAUGAUGGACAUUUCUGAGGCAAUGAGCUUCUUAACCUUGUUCUUAAUUUAAGGAAGUUCUCUGGUUGCUGGAAGGGCUCACUGCCUCUUGUUCCUAGCAGAUCUUCAUUUUGCUGCGUGGGCAGAGUUUACACGAGCCGCUUUUAAUUUGAUAAUUGGGGAGGGGAAGUUGAAGUGCAUCCCCAGAUUAGAAAUGUUAAGUAAUUUUCUUUCUAGAACUGUGGUAAAAAUAUCAGCCAUUUGAACGGAGUUGUGAUGUGGGAGGGUGCAGGAAGCAGAUGCAAUUUUUGCCAGGACUCAUGGGUGUGUUGUGUUCAAAGCACAUGUCAGGAUGACUAAUAGUUGGAUUGCCCUGACUGUAGCACUGAAUAAAGGCUUGAUAAUGCAUUCUCGGCUACUAGUAAGACAUGACCACUUUGUCAUGUGAAGACUAUGCCGAACAGCUCGGUUAUGUUCAAAUAAGGCUGCUAGGAGAACUGCCAUGCAAGGAAUCAGCUGUAAACCAAGGAUAAUUAUAGAAGGACAAAAACUUUCAGUCUGCUUAACAAAAUUUUUGAAACCUAGCUAAACGAAAGGAUAUGUUCUCAGUCGAGCUCGCCGUGUGCUUUCAGACAAUUUGCUGAGCUACGCUGUACCUCAGUUUUCUUAUUGCUAAAAUAUUUUGGGUUAGGUCACGUGUAUCGAGCAUUUUAUAGAGCCCUGCAAUUCUGUGGUCUGUGAGUAUAGGGUGGACUUCAAAUUACAUGUCCACCCUCCUCGAAAUGCUCAGCUCAGAUCUAGAAAGCUUUCUCUUGUGCUACAGUAGACAGCAUUGUUGAGAAAAUUGCUCUGACUUCGGAUGGAAAGAGGGACAUUCUCAAAUUGCCCCUUUAAUUAUAGUUAAGUUAUUCAAGCAUUUGGUGCUUCAUAGCAUACCAUUUUUUUAAUUAAAAAAAAAAAAAGAGGGCUUCCCUGGUGGCGCAGUGGUUGAGAGUCCGCCUGCUGACGCAGGGGACACGGGUUCGUGCCCCGGUCCGGGAAGAUCCCACAUACCGCAAAGCGGCUGGGCCCGUGAGCCAUUGCCGCUGAGCCUGCGCGUCUGGAGGCUGUGCUCUGCAACAGGAGAGGCCACAGCAGUGAGAGGCCCGCGUACCG
Molecule: long non-coding RNA, 2446 nt
Organism: Phocoena sinus (vaquita)
Lineage: Eukaryota; Metazoa; Chordata; Mammalia; Artiodactyla; Phocoenidae
Source: Ensembl